GCGGAGCUGCGGGGUGGGCGCGGGCGCAUGAGCCGCGCCGGGGUCGGGGCCCUCCGGCGUCCGAGCGUCCGGGGAGGCGGCCGCGGCGCUGGUCUGCCCGGGGCGCUGCGUGCGUGCGCGCCGGAGGGAGCCCGAGUGUGUGUGCGUGUGUCUGUGCGUAUGUGUGCCCGUGUGUGCCCGUGUGUGUGUGUCUGUGUGUGUGUGUGUGCGCGCGCGCGCGCGCGUGGCAGCCCCGCUCUGGCGGGAGGGCCGCGGGGGGCGGGGGCCGGGCUACGCGGAGGCCCGGCCUCCCUCCCUCCCUCCUUUCUUCCCUCCCUCCCGCAGCCUCUCGGGCUCGCCACCUCCCGCCUGGUCCCCAGCCAGCUGGCGAGGCGGCCGCGGCGGCUCCCGCUGCAGACCGAGCGCAGCUCAGGGCGCACGCGGAGGGAGCCCGGGAGGGGCGGCCAGUGCCGCCGGGGAGGGGGCUGGCGGAGGAGGGUGGAGGACUGGGUGUAGCCCUAGUGAGGGUGGGGGCGGAGCCACCAGCAGGUUUCAGCGGGGGAUGGGAGGAUAAAUGAGGCUGCUUGGGUCUUUUUAGCCCAGCUCCCCGAGAACGCAUGAAGCCACGCGGGGCGGCGAGUUUGAGGGACCUGGGGCUGGAGAAAGAAACGGGAUUCAGCCAAGAAGGCAGACAGGCGGCUUACGGGAGAGAAGAGAUCGGGCGGAGAGAGGGGAGCGCAAGGGGAGGGGGCUGUGGGCACCCGGGAGCACGGUGGCACCCGCAGUUCCACCAGAAGCCACCCGGCGCGAGCGCGGGCGCGUGUCACUGGCCUGGGGCACCUCCUUGUCCCAAGGUGGGGUCCCUAGGGCCGCCUCAGCUCCCGCGAGCGUCGCAGGCCGGGUGGCCCAGCACCUGCCAACCUGAGUCGUUCCCUCGGAGAGCGCUGAGGAUGGCACAGGCCGCCAGUCUUGGGGUUGGGCCCUCAGGGGAGGGCGCUGCAUUCCCCCUUGCCUGCCCCCUCCCUGUUGCUUUUCAGAGAAACACUCCUUGGCUCCCUGAGGCUGGGCGCAGGGAGCACCCGGAACGCAAUCCAAUGCGCCGCGCAACGACGGCCCCUCUCUGGACGAGCCUUGCGAGGGUACAGGAGGCUCUGACCGGGGUGCAGCUAUUCCUUGCGUCCAGAGAGGAAGCCUCGCCCUGAUUUAUCCUCUUGCCGUUUCAGCUUCCUUUGCUCUUUUGUCCCCGUGCCCCCCGCCCCCAUCUCCCUUCAGGGCGUUGAGGGGGUUUCUCUCGACCACCAGCCACCUAAUCUCCCUGAGCAGUGGAGCUCGAAAUGGGUAGGCAGAAGCCGCGGAGAAGCCCCCACCCCCACCUCCCCUUCUCUGGGUCAGGCGACCUCCCUUGGACCUCAGCCAAGGAAGAGAUGGAGACUUGGGGGAAGGGACGCCCCCCGGCGGCGGGUCAAGAGACGGGCCUGAGGUGGGCCAUGGGCGUUGCAGAGUAGGUCCAGGGAAUCAACUCUCGCGCCCCUCGCGGGCUUCCGGAGCACUGGCCCAUUUGGGUCGCCCCCUUUAGCCGUGUCUUGGGCUCGCCGUCCGCAGGACCGAGCGAGUCUGGGAACGCAGUGCCUCACCGAGACUCCACCCCGUUUCUGGAACUCGCAGGUGCUUGCGCACCCGGCCCCACCGGAGAAGGGGGCCAGCGCUGUGGGCGACUUUUGGGCAGUCGGGUCUCCGCUGGGUCUGCAGGCGCCCUUGGGCACGGGGACGGGGAGCCCCACCCUAAGCAGGCGCUUUCCCCAGAAUACAUUUUGGAAACCGAAGCCCCCGCGCUCGCGAAUGAGUCUGGCCGCCCGGUGAGUCACCGCGAGCGGGCGACAAGGAUUCCCAGCAGCUGGUAAUUAAUUGCUCUGUGGCUCGGCCCACGACGGAACCCCAGUCGGGCCUCCCGCCGCCCUGCAGCGGCGCCACCCCUGAGUCACAGCCGUCGGGCCUCCGCCGUCCGGAAGCGGCCUGCGCGCCUGGGCGCCACCAGGGGGCACUGGACUCCGACCCACAGGUCGCCCCGCUUUGAGCCAACGCUGCGCAGGGAAGUCCAGGCUGUCCCCGCUGGCAGAUAGGAACACUUCCAACCGGAGAAGGUCACGUGCUCGGGGACGCAAGGCAGUUCCCAUCUAGAACCAGCUCUUGAACCGUCUCCCGGCUUCUGUCCAGCGCUCCACGGACCCAGCAGCCUUCCGACCCCAAGGUGGAAGUGAGCUCCUUGGAGCAGAGCCUGGCUCCUGACAUCUUCCCUGUGUCCCCAGCAGCCAUCCCCAAGGCAGUUGCCCAGCUAGCACUGUGGGUUGCUGCCACAAGACAGUCUACAAAGAGGUCAGGCUGCUGACAGUGCCUCUGGGGAGCCCACCUCCCUCUCUGCCUCUGGUUGUGGGAGCAUCAACUCCAGCCCAACUGGAGGAGGAUUCAGAGCUCAGGUGUGGCCAAUCAGAGCCCGGGAUUCCCCAUGGCCACAGUGAUUGGCUGGGUGUGGCUCAUCUCUCCACCAGUGAAAACCCUGGGAAAGCAUUUCUAAGAGGAGCCUGGUGGAGGGAGGGAGGCAGGUCCCAAGGCUGCAGGCCCACGGGGCAGCAAGAGCCACGCCUGGAGGGGAGCAAACGCAUUCUCUUCUCCUCCGCUUAGGCCACUGGGAGUUGGUCCCAAUCUAGACGCGUGCCGCUGGUGCCAGGAAGCUGGCAGCCUGUCUGAGCUCCUCCAGCAGUCUGUCCCUGGGCCUCCCUGGACCUCAGUGUCUUCUUUCGUAAAAACAGAUUUAUCUGAUUAGAUAAUAAAGAACAUCGUGGUUUUAUAA
Molecule: non-coding RNA, 2827 nt
Organism: Equus caballus (horse)
Lineage: Eukaryota; Metazoa; Chordata; Mammalia; Perissodactyla; Equidae
Source: RefSeq, a predicted model, not a curated record